RNAcentral lists this ribosomal RNA (478 nucleotides) under uncultured bacterium. Its description in RNAcentral is "partial 16S ribosomal RNA". It matches the Rfam family "Bacterial small subunit ribosomal RNA", at positions 28 to 507 of the family's 1533-position model. The record is from RNAcentral.
GACGAACGCUGGCGGCGUGCUUAACACAUGCAAGUCGAACGUGAUUUUUGUGGAAAUUCUUUCGGGAAUGGAAAUGAAAUGAAAGUGGCGAACGGGUGAGUAACACGUGAGCAACCUACCUUACACAGGGGGAUAGCCGUUGGAAACGACGAUUAAUACCGCAUGAGACCACAGAAUCGCAUGAUAUAGGGGUCAAAGAUUUAUCGGUGUAAGAAGGGCUCGCGUCUGAUUAGCUAGUUGGAAGGGUAAAGGCCUACCAAGGCGACGAUCAGUAGCCGGUCUGAGAGGAUGAACCGCCACAUUGGAACUGAGACACGGUCCAAACUCCUACGGGAGGCAGCAGUGGGGAAUAUUGCACAAUGGGGGGAACCCUGAUGCAGCGACGCCGCGUGAGCGAAGAAGGUUUUCGAAUCGUAAAGCUCUGUCCUAUGAGAAGAUAAUGACGGUAUCAUAGGAGGAAGCCCCGGCUAAAUACGUG